This 465-nucleotide ribosomal RNA is filed under the name uncultured bacterium. Its description in RNAcentral is "partial 16S ribosomal RNA". It matches the Rfam family "Bacterial small subunit ribosomal RNA", at positions 339 to 795 of the family's 1533-position model. The record is from RNAcentral.
CUACGGGUCGCACCAGUGGGGAAUAUUGGGCAAUGGGCGCAAGCCUGACCCAGCAACGCCGUGUGAGGGAUGAAGGUCUUCGGAUUGUAAACCUCUGUCAGAAGGGAAGAAGUGCAUAGGGUCCAAUAGGCCUUAUGCUUGACGGUACCUUCAGAGGAAGCACCGGCUAGCUCCGUGCCAGCAGCCGCGGUAAUACGGAGGGUGCAAGCGUUAUUCGGAAUUACUGGGCGUAAAGCGUACGUAGGCGGCGAGGUAAGUCAGGUGUGAAAUCCCACGGCUCAACCGUGGAACUGCACUUGAAACUGCUUUGCUCGAGUACUGGAGGGGAUGGCGGAAUUCCUGGUGUAGGAGUGAAAUCCGUAGAUAUCAGGAGGAACACCGGUGGCGAAGGCGGCCAUCUGGACAGUAACUGACGCUGAGGUACGAAAGCGUGGGGAGCAAACAGGAUUAGAUACCCCAGUAGUC